Molecule: long non-coding RNA, 1484 nt
Organism: Hemicordylus capensis (graceful crag lizard)
Lineage: Eukaryota; Metazoa; Chordata; Lepidosauria; Squamata; Cordylidae
Exons: 3
Source: RefSeq, a predicted model, not a curated record
UGGCUGAAGUUAGUCUGUCUCUUCAUGAAAGAAUAUCUUUCCAUUUAUCAUUCUGGUUUUUUGUUUGUUAAAUGAAGAGGAGGACUGCUGAAGGUUCAACUGAUUUCUGUCACUUACUUUACUGUGAUGUUUUGCAUACCUGUAUGGGAAUUUUGAUUACAAAAUAUUGGUGGAUAUGUGGCUUUGUAUAUACAAUAUAUAUACCUUUUCCUUUUGGUAGAACCUGUCUUUCAACGCAUACAUUUUCUUCUCCAUUGAAUUUUUAUGUUUUAAAUCGUCUUUUGAGGCCAAGAGCAACCCACAAACGCUGUCGAUCUGUAUUCUAACUCGGAGCAACUCAGAAACGCAGACGAAGAAAGACUGAAUGAGGGAGGAUAUGUGACCACAGGAAGGGGAGGAGCUGCCACCUAUCUAAGAGAGAAACUAACUCGGACAAUUCCAACAAGGUCUCUGCGCAGGCGCAAAGCCCAAUUGUGUAAAGCACAUUGACUACGUUGAAGAACAAUACUGCUGGAACAAGGCAUCUGUCCACUUAUCUGCACUACCCACUUUGGACAUGGAGGGGCAAAAAUGUCUAAAGGCACAAACCUCUGGUCCUGAAGGAACUUGCUUUGCAGCCAGGAAAACUGUGGGAUUUUAAAACUAAAACCUGAGAGGCAUAAACUAAGUGAGAGAGUUAUGCCCAAACCACUGAGCCACAGAAUCAGGGAUUAUUGUAUCCUUUCAGUGUUCACCAGUGAAGAUGGCAGCACAUGAAGAAAAGGAAUUAAGGAGUCCAGAGUUAAUACAACUGUAAUACAUUGCAAUGGAUAUAUUUUAAGAGAACAGAUGUGGUAUAAUUAAUAUCAUCAGAGUUAGUGUGCUUAUCUAGCCAAUAUUUUUAAUAGAUAUUAUUAGGAAAGAAGAGCAGGUAGGGUCUGCAGGGAACAUUUGGAAGAUCAACAGCCAGGAAGGUGCGGAUUUCAAAAGCACUUGGAAAAGUAGAUAACUUUUAAAGUAAAGAUGAAAUUUCAUGGAGCAGCAAAUUAACUUUUAAGUUCUAUGAGAAAGUAGUGCAUACAUCUUAGCAGAGAAAUCUUUAUGUACAGUUACUGCACUGCUGUCUCAGAUUACUUUAAACUAUCACUUCCUGCAAAAAAAAAAAUUGGUUUCGUUCUUUUUAAGACUUCUGGAAUAUUAGAUUUUUGUAGACUUUGCUCUCAGUUCUUGAAAUUUCCUUCAUUCUUUCUAAGAAGUUCUAGUUCACAAACGCUUAUGACACAAUAAAUCUUUUAAGACUUUAAGGUGCCAAAAGACUGUUGUUUUUGUUGCAACAGACUAACAUGGCUAUCCCUCUUGAGUGUGUCCCCAGGUUGUACUGUAAUUCUGCAGGACUCUUAUCCUAUUUCCCAAUAUAGAGAUGAAUGCUGAAAUGCUACUGUCUUGUUAACAAAUACAUUAACAUUACUGGCAUAUAUCUUACAAAAUGAUUAAGAGUGAGAUGU